GCAUUAACUUUUUCUGCGGAUUGACUGGCCAGUUUCAUUGUUCAUUGCAUAUUUUCUGGAGAUUUGUUUGGCUCGCCUUCGCAGGCAAAUCUGGUCGCUUUGAAGGUCAUGAGAUUUAUGUAAACUCCUUUCUUUCAUCAGUGCGGAGCAAAAGAAAUUUUUCUCGUAGCUCAAUGGUAAAAAUACAUGGUUUGGUGUUGUUCGUUUGUUUUGAUAGUCCGUCUUUUGGGUUAACUUAUGUCGUUUGUCCUCCUAGAAGUUUUAAAAGGAACUGCCAUAAUUUCGAGUAUUGAGCAAUUGACAAACACAUAAACUGGCUCACCCCUG
This 327-nucleotide small RNA is filed under the name Histoplasma ohiense. RNAcentral describes it as "hypothetical lncRNA". The record is from RNAcentral. Lineage: Eukaryota; Fungi; Ascomycota; Eurotiomycetes; Onygenales; Ajellomycetaceae.